RNAcentral lists this ribosomal RNA (940 nucleotides) under uncultured organism. RNAcentral describes it as "bacterial SSU rRNA". It matches the Rfam family "Bacterial small subunit ribosomal RNA", at positions 15 to 931 of the family's 1533-position model. The record is from RNAcentral.
GAUCCUGGCUCAGAACGAACGCUGGCGGCAUGGCUAAAACAUGCAAGUCGGACGCGAACGUCCCUUCGGGGAACAAGUAGAGUGGCGAAAGGGCGAGUAACGCAUGGGUAACGUACCCUUAACACAGGGAUAGCCUCGGGAAAUCGUGGAUAAUACCUGAUAAGACCACAGCGCCGUAUGGCGUAGCGGUCAAAUGGCGGGGAUCCUUCGGGACCUGCCGGUUUUGGAGCGGCCCAUGUCCUAUCAGCUUGUUGGUGAGGUGAUGGCUCACCAAGGCAACGACGGGUAGCGGGACUGAGAGGUUGGCCCGCCGCAUCGGGACUGAGACACUGCCCGGACUCCUACGGGAGGCUGCAGUAACGAAUAUUGUCCAAUGGGCGCAAGCCUGAGACAGCAAUGCCGCGUGCGGGAGGAAGUCCUUCGGGAUGUAAACCGCUGUCAGGGGCUACCAAGUAAAGAGGGUUAACAGCUCUCUGCGCUGAGGAGCCCCAGAGGAAGCCACGGCUAACUUCGUGCCAGCAGCCGCGGUAAUACGAAGGUGGCGAGCGUUGUUCGGAAUCACUGGGCUUAAAGAGCACGUAGGCGGACCUUCAAGCGUCUUGUGAAAUCCCUCGGCUCAACCGAGGAAUUGCGAGGCGAACUGUUGGUCUUGAGGCAGGCAGGGGCGCGCGGAACUCUUGGUGGAGCGGUGGAAUGCGUAGAUAUCAAGAGGAACGCCAGAGGCGAAGGCGGCGCGCUGGGCCUGUCCUGACGCUGAGGUGCGAAAGCCAGGGGAGCGAACGGGAUUAGAUACCCCGGUAGUCCUGGCCCUAAACGAUGUCCACUAGGUCGACGGCUCUCUGACGAGUUAUCGGGCGAAACAAAAGCGAUAAGUGGACCGCCUGGGGAGUACGGUCGCAAGGCUAAAACUUCAAGGAAUUGACGGCGGCUCACACAAGCG